UCAAGAAUUUUCCCCAAUGGACGAAAGUCUGAGGGAGCGACGCCGCGUGCAGGAUGAAGUCUUUCGGGAUGUAAACUGCUUUUCUAAAGGAGCAAGUUUGCCGUAAGGUAAAUUGAGAGUACUUUAGGAAUAAGGGGCCGCUAACUUCGUGCCAGCAGCGGCGGUAAUACGAAGGCCCCGAGCGUUAUCCGGAUUUAUUGGGCGUAAAGCGUGCGUAGGCGGAUUUUUAAGUCAGUCGUUAAAUUCUAGGGCUUAACCUUGGAGCUGCGAUUGAAACUGGGAAUCUAGAGGCCGGGAGAGGAAAGCGGAAUUGCCGGUGUAGUAGUAAAAUGCGUUAAUAUCGGCAGGAACACCAAAUGCGAAAGCAGCUUUCUAGAACGGUUCUGACGCUCAGGCACUAAAGCGUGGGGAGCGAAUGGG
Molecule: ribosomal RNA, 420 nt
Filed under: uncultured bacterium
Lineage: Bacteria
Description: bacterial SSU rRNA
Rfam family: Bacterial small subunit ribosomal RNA
Source: RNAcentral